CCUCGCUUGGAUCAAGCCAUUUUGGUGGGGCCGUACAUGGUGGUUUCAUAUUUCUCCUCGUGGAAAAAAACAAACAAACAGUCCCCGUUGUAUUUCCGAAAGUCCACCCGAGACGAGACACGCGUUUUGUUGGAAUUGGGUAACGUUAUAUCCGUCAGCCACUCGAGCAGUUCGAGGACAUCUGUCGUUGGAUGCGUUGUCGUGUGGACCGUACGCAGUAACAGCAGCGAGUUGUCCAGCGGAUCCCUGUGGUCCCGUCGAACAAAGAACCAGCUAAGGCCGAUGCUGUGAAUGUUAUUUAUGAAACAUCUGGAUGUGUAGCCCAAACUAAAGCCAUUUUGGUUAUAGCAGUUUACCGUGACACGUAUUUCCUUAACUCCUAACAAGCGACGUCUCAGUGGGAAACAUCGGCUACCGGUAGCACUUAUUGUUGACAACUAGUAGAACUGCUAACCUUAUAGCAUCAAGGGAUUCAAGGGACACGUUUUCCAAGAUGGCUGAAGUAUAUAUUCGAGUGGCGGAGGAGGAAAACGAGGAGCCCAUGGAGAUCCCGUCCGAGGACGACGGCACUGUCCUGCUUUCCACCGUGGCCGCGCAGUUCCCCGGCGCGUGCGGCCUGCGCUUCAGGAGCCCCGUGUCUCAGUGCAUGCGGGGGGUGCGUCUCGUGGAAGGAGUCCUGCACGCACCAGAAAACGGAUGGGCCAAUGUGGUCUACGUAGUGAACUAUCCGAAAGAUAACAAAAGAAAGAUGGAAGAAAUUGACGCAUCCUCUGCUGUGAAAAUGAAGAGGGGAGACAUGAAGACGUCUGAUCUGAUCGUACUGGGUCUUCCGUGGAAAACGAGUGAACAGGACCUUAAAGACUACUUUAGCACAUUUGGAGAAGUCAUCAUGGUUCAGGUUAAACGAGACGCCAAAACGGGAAACUCCAAAGGAUUCGGCUUUGUGAGAUUCACUGAGUAUGAAGCACAAGAAAAGGUGGUCUCCCAGCGGCAUAUGAUUGACGGGAGAUGGUGUGACUGCAAGCUUCCGAACUCGAAGCAAGGUCCAGAUGAGCCUUUGAGGAGCCGGAAAGUGUUUGUAGGCCGUUGCACAGAGGACAUGACCACUGAUGACCUUCGGCAGUUCUUUAUGCAGUACGGGGAGGUCACAGAUGUCUUCAUCCCCAAGCCAUUCCGUGCUUUUGCCUUUGUCACGUUUGCAGAUGAUCAGGUUGCACAGUCUCUUUGUGGAGAGGACCUAAUAAUCAAAGGUGUCAGUGUUCACAUCUCAAAUGCUGAGCCCAAACAUGGCAAUAGGCAGUUUGAUCGUACAACGCGGUUUGGGAACGGGUUUGGAGCUCAAGCAUUUGGUAGCAGCCGUAGUGGGUUAGGGGGGAGCAGCAGUAACAGUAGUCUGGCUAAUUUUGGUUCUUUCAGCCUGAACCCCGCUAUGAUGGCCGCGGCUCAGGCGGCGCUGCAGAGUAGUUGGGGGAUGAUGGGUAUGCUGGCUAGCCAGCAGCAGACGUCCACUUCCGGCAGCACCUCCAGUGGAACAAGUUCUAGUCGGGACCAGAGUCAGUCUUUCAGUGCAGGAAACAGCAACUAUGGCACCAGCUCAGCCGGUCUCGGCUGGGGAACAGGGUCGAACUCUGCGACCAGCGGUAGUGGGUUCAGUUCAGGUUUUGGGUCCAGUAUGGAGUCAAAGUCAUCUGGGUGGGGUAUGUAAGCUAAAUAUUUGUAUGGUAAGUAUUGUGACAAAGAUGAGUCUUUUCAAAAUGUAUUUCUGGUGUGGAUGCGUAUCCGACAACUUAACACUUUUGUGGAAAUGUUUUGUACAUUUGGAAAAAAUGCUAAAGAUUUAAUUUAGAAAGUGUUGAAGUGAAUCGUUUACUAGGAUGUCUGACUAAAGUGCUAUUUUUGAUCUCAUUUGUUUGUAUCCAUUUCAACUGGAUUCUCUAAUGCAUGUAUUGUGAAAUGUGAUAACCAUUUUGAAAAUGCAUGAAAGUUUGUGGUUCACCAUUAUCCGGCUUGGUCAUCGACUUAAAAAGGCAAUCUUGCAUUGGGAAGAAUCUGGUUGAAACCUAAAUGUUUUAAGUGCAACUUUAUUUACAGUCAAGUUCUGUGGAAAAGCCUUCAUUGAAAUCUCUUCUGCAGUUCACCUCUCUUCCAUUUUCCUGUGAGGAAGCUCCUCUUUGGCAGCAUUCUUGGGGUGAUAUCGGUAUCAUUCUCCCUCUUCCCACCUGUAAAUGCUAUGCCAUCAAAGAACGGCUUCACUCCGCAUGUUCUGAGAGACGGGACCUUGGGCUCCGCUGGUCGAGGUCUCCGUUUGCAUCCUGACUGAAGUCUGUUCUGAAGGAUGAAGACAGAAGUUCCAACACUUUCAGUGUGUGGCCUUCUCAGACCCCGGGCUAGUACCUGUCCGUUUGCUGCUUUUGAUAGCUUGUCGGCAGAUAUGAUCUCUUUUCAAUUGUCCACAGCUACUUUGAAGUUGAAGUUCAGGGGGUGGGACUAAGGUUAGAAGAAUGUGUGUAAUGGACUUAUUGGAUUGCAUUUGAUUUCAGGAGGUGUACCUCCGUUAAGAGGUCAGUGUAUAUAGCAGAUAGGGGGCCUAAAUCGUGAUCAAGGCAGAUAUAUAAUUUAGGAUCUUGUAGUCUGUCACUAAGAAAAAGAGCUUUAUUUAUACUUAAUAAUCCAAUCAGGCAUCACUAUUGUCACAGUAGUGCCAAUGUGAUACCAUAUGACAUUGCAUCAACACAACUCACAAAAGUUAUUUAAUUCAAAAUGUAACAAAGAUUUAUUUUGUAGAACCCUGGACAGUUGAAAUGGAUCAUUUCCAUAAAAUCAUGGCUAUGGCACCAUUGACACGUAACUUGUCAUCAUGUAUAAGUAAACUUUAUUGUUCAUUUGAAUGUUGGCAACCAGUGCGACCCGGCAGCUCUGCCGGUGUUCUGUCCUUAUUCUCUGCUCUCCUCCUCAGUGUCUCUGCUUUUCCUCUUCCCAGUAUUCUUCUUUUUCAAAUCCCUCUGCUCUUGGAUCAGUUCUUCACUUUUAUUAUGUAUGUAGACAGACUGAAAUAAAUAAAGGCAAAUCAAACAAG
Gasterosteus aculeatus aculeatus (three-spined stickleback) is the source of this 3076-nucleotide RNA transcript. It is a transcript of the gene named TAR DNA binding protein b, with no coding region annotated. The record is from RefSeq and is a predicted model, not a curated record. Lineage: Eukaryota; Metazoa; Chordata; Actinopteri; Perciformes; Gasterosteidae.